Non-coding RNA from Gorilla gorilla gorilla (western lowland gorilla), 46 nucleotides. The record is from Rfam. Lineage: Eukaryota; Metazoa; Chordata; Mammalia; Primates; Hominidae.
AAAAAGGUGUUUCUAGACACCACUAAAAAUAACCCUUGAGCAGCAA